CAAACGGCCCUUUUCAGGGCCACCACAAUAGAGUAAAUUGCAGUCU
Molecule: regulatory RNA element, 46 nt
Organism: Lottia gigantea (owl limpet)
Lineage: Eukaryota; Metazoa; Mollusca; Gastropoda; Lottiidae
Rfam family: Histone 3' UTR stem-loop
About the family: The mRNAs of metazoan histone genes lack a poly-A tail. 3' end processing occurs at a site between a highly conserved stem-loop (modelled by this family) and a purine rich region around 20 nts downstream (the histone downstream element, or HDE).
Source: Rfam